ACACUUGGCCAGGAUGAAGUCCCGGUAACACGGGAUGGAGGUCCGCACCAAUAAGCGUUGAAAAGCUUCUGGAUGAGCCGAGUGUAGGAGUGAAAGGCCAAUCAAACUUGGAGAUAGCUCGUACUCCCCGAAAGGCAUUUAGGUGCCGCGUCGGAUGGUCACCGUGAGAGGUAGAGCGACCGAUAGGACAAGAGGGCUUCACCGCCUAUCGAGUCCUGACGAACUCCGAAUGCUCACGGUCUGCAGUCCGGCAGUAAGGGGGCGGGUGCUAAGGUCCGUGCCCGAGAGGAGAAGAAUCCAGACCGCCGUCUAAGGUCCCGGAGUUCUGCCUGAGUUAGUCUAACGAAGUCUGGUCCCUAUGACAGCUAGGAUGUUGGCUUGGAAGCAGCCAUUCAUUCAAAGAGUGCGUAACAGCUCACUAGUCGAGGGUCCGGGCAUGGAUAAUAAUCGGGUAUAAGGCAGACACCGAAGGCGCGGGAUAGCAAUUAUAAAAGUAUCGGUAGGGGAGCAUACUCACAGCGUCGAAUGGUGUACGUAAGUUAUCCUGGAGCGGUGAGUAAAGCAAAUGUAGGAAUAAGUAACGAUAAGGAGGGUUAGAUUCCCUCCCGCUGUAAGACCAAGGUUUCCCGGGCAAUGCCAAUCAGCCCGGGGUCAGUCGGGUCCUAAGUCUAAGCCGAACGGCGAUGGCGAUGGCAGAGACGGUUAAUAUUCCGUCACUGCCGCAUGGGGCGACGUGGAGACGGAGCAGUGAAACCACCGCGGGGCGACGGAAGUCCCCGUUGAAGAGUGUAGGUGUUGAGGAUGGCAGGCAAAUCCACCAUCCGAGCUGAACUUGAUAGUACGGAGUCCUCCUCGGAGGAAUCUGAUAGUGUGGGUAAUCAUACUCCCGAGAAAAUCCGCUAAGCUUAACCCAUGCGGCACCCGUACCGCAAACGGACACACGUGGUCGGGUAGAACAUACUAAGGCGUUGAGAGAUUCAUGGUUAAGGAACUAGGCAAAUUGACCCUGUAACUUCGGGAUAAAGGGUCCUCGUGAUGAGCGAGGCGCAGAGAAUAGGUCCAGGCAACUGUUUAACAAAAACACAGGGCUGUGCAAACUCGAAAGAUGACGUAUACAGCCUGACACCUGCCCGGUGCCGGAAGGUUAAGAGGAGAUGUCACUCGCAAGAGGAAGCAUUGAAUUGAAGCCCCGGUAAACGGCGGCCGUAACUAUAACGGUCCUAAGGUAGCGAAAUUCCUUGUCGGGUAAGUUC
RNAcentral lists this ribosomal RNA (1253 nucleotides) under human gut metagenome. Its description in RNAcentral is "bacterial LSU rRNA". It matches the Rfam family "Bacterial large subunit ribosomal RNA", at positions 732 to 1983 of the family's 2925-position model. The record is from RNAcentral.